This 73-nucleotide transfer RNA is filed under the name Eremias multiocellata. RNAcentral's name for it is "tRNA-Asp". Lineage: Eukaryota; Metazoa; Chordata; Lepidosauria; Squamata; Lacertidae. The record is from RNAcentral.
GAGGCCCUAGUAAAUUAAUUACAUAGUUCUGUCAGCACUAAAUUAUGGGUGCAACCUUAACCCAUGGACCUCA